GGGUUGUGAGGUUAAGCGACUAAGCGUACACGGUGGAUGCCCUGGCAGUCAGAGGCGAUGAAGGACGUGCUAAUCUGCGAUAAGCGUCGGUAAGGUGAUAUGAACCGUUAUAACCGGCGAUUUCCGAAUGGGGAAACCCAGUGUGUUUCGACACACUAUCAUUAACUGAAUCCAUAGGUUAAUGAGGCGAACCGGGGGAACUGAAACAUCUAAGUACCCCGAGGAAAAGAAAUCAACCGAGAUUCCCCCAGUAGCGGCGAGCGAACGGGGAGCAGCCCAGAGCCUGAAUCAGUGUGUGUGUUAGUGGAAGCGUCUGGAAAGGCGUGCGAUACAGGGUGACAGCCCCGUACACAAAAAUGCACAUGCUGUGAGCUCGAUGAGUAGGGCGGGACACGUGGUAUCCUGUCUGAAUAUGGGGGGACCAUCCUCCAAGGCUAAAUACUCCUGACUGACCGAUAGUGAACCAGUACCGUGAGGGAAAGGCGAAAAGAACCCCGGCGAGGGGAGUGAAAAAGAACCUGAAACCGUGUACGUACAAGCAGUGGGAGCACGCUUAGGCGUGUGACUGCGUACCUUUUGUAUAAUGGGUCAGCGACUUAUAUUCUGUAGCAAGGUUAACCGAAUAGGGGAGCCGAAGGGAAACCGAGUCUUAACUGGGCGUUAAGUUGCAGGAUAUAGACCCGAAACCCGGUGAUCUAGCCAUGGGCAGGUUGAAGGUUGGGUAACACUAACUGGAGGACCGAACCGACUAAUGUUGAAAAAUUAGCGGAUGACUUGUGGCUGGGGGUGAAAGGCCAAUCAAACCGGGAGAUAGCUGGUUCUCCCCGAAAGCUAUUUAGGUAGCGCCUCGUGAAUUCAUCUCCGGGGGUAGAGCACUGUUUCGGCAAGGGGGUCAUCCCGACUUACCAACCCGAUGCAAACUGCGAAUACCGGAGAAUGUUAUCACGGGAGACACACGGCGGGUGCUAACGUCCGUCGUGAAGAGGGAAACAACCCAGACCGCCAGCUAAGGUCCCAAAGUCAUGGUUAAGUGGGAAACGAUGUGGGAAGGCCCAGACAGCCAGGAUGUUGGCUUAGAAGCAGCCAUCAUUUAAAGAAAGCGUAAUAGCUCACUGGUCGAGUCGGCCUGCGCGGAAGAUGUAACGGGGCUAAACCAUGCACCGAAGCUGCGGCAGCGACACUAUGUGUUGUUGGGUAGGGGAGCGUUCUGUAAGCCUGUGAAGGUGUGCUGUGAGGCAUGCUGGAGGUAUCAGAAGUGCGAAUGCUGACAUAAGUAACGAUAAAGCGGGUGAAAAGCCCGCUCGCCGGAAGACCAAGGGUUCCUGUCCAACGUUAAUCGGGGCAGGGUGAGUCGACCCCUAAGGCGAGGCCGAAAGGCGUAGUCGAUGGGAAACAGGUUAAUAUUCCUGUACUUGGUGUUACUGCGAAGGGGGGACGGAGAAGGCUAUGUUGGCCGGGCGACGGUUGUCCCGGUUUAAGCGUGUAGGCUGGUUUUCCAGGCAAAUCCGGAAAAUCAAGGCUGAGGCGUGAUGACGAGGCACUACGGUGCUGAAGCAACAAAUGCCCUGCUUCCAGGAAAAGCCUCUAAGCAUCAGGUAACAUCAAAUCGUACCCCAAACCGACACAGGUGGUCAGGUAGAGAAUACCAAGGCGCUUGAGAGAACUCGGGUGAAGGAACUAGGCAAAAUGGUGCCGUAACUUCGGGAGAAGGCACGCUGAUAUGUAGGUGAAGCGACUUGCUCGUGGAGCUGAAAUCAGUCGAAGAUACCAGCUGGCUGCAACUGUUUAUUAAAAACACAGCACUGUGCAAACACGAAAGUGGACGUAUACGGUGUGACGCCUGCCCGGUGCCGGAAGGUUAAUUGAUGGGGUUAGCCGCAAGGCGAAGCUCUUGAUCGAAGCCCCGGUAAACGGCGGCCGUAACUAUAACGGUCCUAAGGUAGCGAAAUUCCUUGUCGGGUAAGUUCCGACCUGCACGAAUGGCGUAAUGAUGGCCAGGCUGUCUCCACCCGAGACUCAGUGAAAUUGAACUCGCUGUGAAGAUGCAGUGUACCCGCGGCAAGACGGAAAGACCCCGUGAACCUUUACUAUAGCUUGACACUGAACAUUGAGCCUUGAUGUGUAGGAUAGGUGGGAGGCUUUGAAGUGUGGACGCCAGUCUGCAUGGAGCCGACCUUGAAAUACCACCCUUUAAUGUUUGAUGUUCUAACGUUGACCCGUAAUCCGGGUUGCGGACAGUGUCUGGUGGGUAGUUUGACUGGGGCGGUCUCCUCCUAAAGAGUAACGGAGGAGCACGAAGGUUGGCUAAUCCUGGUCGGACAUCAGGAGGUUAGUGCAAUGGCAUAAGCCAGCUUGACUGCGAGCGUGACGGCGCGAGCAGGUGCGAAAGCAGGUCAUAGUGAUCCGGUGGUUCUGAAUGGAAGGGCCAUCGCUCAACGGAUAAAAGGUACUCCGGGGAUAACAGGCUGAUACCGCCCAAGAGUUCAUAUCGACGGCGGUGUUUGGCACCUCGAUGUCGGCUCAUCACAUCCUGGGGCUGAAGUAGGUCCCAAGGGUAUGGCUGUUCGCCAUUUAAAGUGGUACGCGAGCUGGGUUUAGAACGUCGUGAGACAGUUCGGUCCCUAUCUGCCGUGGGCGCUGGAGAACUGAGGGGGGCUGCUCCUAGUACGAGAGGACCGGAGUGGACGCAUCACUGGUGUUCGGGUUGUCAUGCCAAUGGCACUGCCCGGUAGCUAAAUGCGGAAGAGAUAAGUGCUGAAAGCAUCUAAGCACGAAACUUGCCCCGAGAUGAGUUCUCCCUGACUCCUUGAGAGUCCUGAAGGAACGUUGAAGACGACGACGUUGAUAGGCCGGGUGUGUAAGCGCAGCGAUGCGUUGAGCUAACCGGUACUAAUGAACCGUGAGGCUUAACCUUACAACGCCGAAGGUGUUU
This 2932-nucleotide ribosomal RNA is filed under the name Escherichia coli. RNAcentral describes it as "bacterial LSU rRNA". It matches the Rfam family "Bacterial large subunit ribosomal RNA". The record is from RNAcentral. Lineage: Bacteria; Pseudomonadati; Pseudomonadota; Gammaproteobacteria; Enterobacterales; Enterobacteriaceae. RNAcentral also lists the same sequence under 1 other name.